RNAcentral lists this long non-coding RNA (927 nucleotides) under Solanum lycopersicum (tomato). Its description in RNAcentral is "long non-coding RNA (SLYC_LNC001043)". The record is from RNAcentral. Lineage: Eukaryota; Viridiplantae; Streptophyta; Magnoliopsida; Solanales; Solanaceae.
UUUUUUUAACACACAACUAAUUUGAUUGGCCUUUGGUUAAAUUAAAUUUCAGGAUUUUCCCAUAUCUGGUUGUGUAACAAUGUGAUUCUUUGAAAUAUAGAUCUAAUGAAUGAGUUUUGUUUGUAUUUGUUACUUUUGAUAUGAUGUCAAAUGCAAUAAUAAAUCAAAUUUGUAGUGAUGAAAAUGAUACCAUGUUGAGUGCGAAAAUCUAUUGCAAACAUGAAACUUACUUUUAAUGCAAACUUCAUGGUCGAAGGACAAUAUAGGUCGAAGAUUUUGGUCUUGUCCACGCUAUCGUAUAUGUUCAUUUUUACAUAUUAUUCUUUUGGAUACUUCAGAUCUCUUUAUUUUAUUUUUUUUAUAAUUUAAAUUUCUUUCUUUGUGGUGUGUAUUUUAGGAGAAUACAUGCAACUUCUUUAGAUGGAGGGUUCAUGAAGAUGUUGAUAUACGAUCCAAGUUCGUUAUUCUCAGAUUGGCGAACAAAAUUAGGGGGUUGAAAACUGAUGAUGAAAGUCAUAUUAAAAGAAGUAUCGAAUGGGGGAUGAAGGAGAAGAAGAAGACCAAAUGUUGUAGCAUGUGAAAACUAAUCUUUGUGUUAUUUCUCUUGUAUUAUUAAGCAUUACCAAGAAGAAUACUAUAGAGGAUAGACAAUUCUUAUAUAGUUGUGUACAACCAUUAAAAUCAUCUAAAAAUAAUUCAUUAUUCCACUCUACAUCAAAAAUUUAGGUAGCAACUUGAAGACCGAUUGUAUGUAUGUCAAAAAUUUGGUAUGUUCCAUACCCUUCAGCAGACAUUUAUAAGCAUUCAUGUGACCAUCGUGCAAAAUUAUCUCGAGAGUCACAAAAUGGAUAUUGUUCAUGUUCAUGACUGUCAAAAUUCUUUUUGCACCAAUCCAAUUCAUGCCUCCAGGAUAUGGCCUAGUGCCCC